GCGCGAAUCAGCGAUAUGUUAAAGAACCUCGCUUUUAUGCGGAUUGUGGCUAGACGUUCAUCCACCGGAGUGAAUGCCAGGAUUCGACGACGGAGUCUCUCUCCCACCACGAAUCCCACACCGAAUUUGCGCUCCUUUAUACGGCCGCUGUAGUAGAUGUCACAUGGACCUACCUUCUUCCGUCCUUGUCCCGUUCAUCGCAUUUCUUGGAUGGGGCUGGGGUAAAUCCUAGACCGAUUUCAACUAUUUUUGCCACCCAGCUACAUUACGUUCUAUAAUUUACGUUUACUUAAUAUUGCUAAGAUAUCUCACAUAUUUACCGAUAUAUGCGGAAUAAAGCCCACCUUAUACGUGUGUGCACAGCAAAGGAAGAACCGUUCAAAAAUCGCCGACGUGGCCGCUGUUCAUUUCAAAAUAAAAUUUUUAGUGAAUGGAUUUAUACGUGUGUGCACAGCAAAGGAAGAGCAAGGAGGUGACGGUGGAAUUGGUGGAGGUUUUUGGAUUUAGCAUUGGUGCAAUAUAGUAUAACAACAACGCAGAAAACAAUGGAAAAUAACAUGAUAUAGAAAACACAAAUCUUCUUCUGCUUACGCGGUUAUAGCCCAGUCCACAACAGCGCGCCACGCAUCUCUUCUUUUCGCAGUUUGGCGCCAAUUGGUAAUACCCAGUGAAGACAGGACCUUCUCCACCUGGUCCUUCCAUCGGAGUGGAGGUAUCCCUCUUCCUCGGCUUCCACCAGCGGGUACUGCAUCGAAAACUUUCAGAGCUGGGACACUUUCGUCCAUUCGAACAACAUGACCCAGCCAGCGUAGCCGCUGUAUUUUUAUUCUCUGAACUAUGCCUAUGUCGUCGAACAACAUAUACAGCUCAUCAUUUCAUCUUUUACGGUAUUCGCCGUUGCCAAUGUUUAAGGGACCAUAAAUCUUCCGCAAAACCUUUCUCUCGAAAACUCCUAGUGCCGUUUCAUCGGAUGUUGACACCGUCCACGCUUCUGCACCAUAAAGUAGGACGGGAAUGAUGAGGGCCUUGUAGAGUUUCGUUUUUGUUCGUCGAAAGAGGACUUUACUUUUCAAUUGCCUACUCAGACCAUAAACACAAAUACUUUGCACAAAUGGAGGAUUACAAUAGCUACAACUUUUCUUAGGUAUGAUAAACAAGACAACAACAAAUCCCAUCGGACAUUUAGAUUAGCAGUUGCACAACCUCUUUCCGACGAGCUGAACCUUUUUAUGAUGUACAUAUGGGAUAGGAUUAUGUGGAAUUGACAUCAAACAAUAUUGGUUCAUUAGUUUCGUUGGAUCCUUACAGGAUAGUUAUAAGGAAAUCGUUCGCGUUUAGUAUUAAUUUAUUCAUUUGCUAAUUCAUAAUUUAGAUGUAAAAUAUUAUUAAAUUAUACAAAUGAAUGUUCGAAUACUAAUAACAUUCGUAGUAAUGGAAUUUUAUUUGAAUUGUAUAACAACAACUACAAAAAAUAAAAAUGUAAUA
Zeugodacus cucurbitae (melon fly) is the source of this 1485-nucleotide long non-coding RNA. RefSeq lists it as uncharacterized. The record is from RefSeq and is a predicted model, not a curated record. The transcript is spliced from 6 exons. NCBI's taxonomy places the organism in Eukaryota, Metazoa, Arthropoda, Insecta, Diptera, Tephritidae.